UCCUGAUCUGUCGGACAGGUGUUUGGGGAUUUUUCUUUAUUAUAGAGAGAAUUCUUCUGUUAUCAGCUGUGGAGGUCUUCCUUUGCCUGCCUGUCCCUUUGCGAUUGGUAAGCUCACCAGUGGUCUCUUUCUUCUUAUUGAUGUUCCAAACAUUUGAUUUUGGUAGGCCUAAAGUUUGGCUGAUGUCUCUAACAGUUU
This is a long non-coding RNA of Amblyraja radiata (thorny skate), 198 nucleotides long. RefSeq lists it as uncharacterized. The record is from RefSeq and is a predicted model, not a curated record. The transcript is spliced from 3 exons. NCBI's taxonomy places the organism in Eukaryota, Metazoa, Chordata, Chondrichthyes, Rajiformes, Rajidae.